UGACACAAUUUUUCAUAUGCUUCACUUAAUCCAUUCCAUCAUAACAAAUAUCUUGAAGUAACAUUUAGGCACCCCCAAGUAAUUACUCCGGCUACUAAAGCACUAAACGUUUGCACGGUUGCAAAACUUGGCCAAUUCCGAAGUUGAGCUUUACAAUCAUUUUGCAUCAAUUAAUCAAACUUAAGCAAGAAAUUAGUAGUUGCUAAAAUUGGGUUUACCAUGCUAUAGCGAGAAGAAUGUUGAGAAAAUGACUAUCCACUCCUACAGCAUACGAUACACAUAAUACAUGAAAAUUAACACACAAUUAUCCAAAAGUAGCUAAUACUGUUCUUUUACCUUAGAAGGGUGAUUGCAGUGUUCAAUUUUCUCUCUGUUAGGCCGUUGUAUAGAGCUACCACAGUUUCUCACCAAGAUGGCAAUAAAUGCCAUAACAAAAACAGUAGAAAUAGAAAGCAGGAAUGGAAAAUUCUGCUGGGUCCUACAAGACCUCCUUAAUGCUGGUGUAUCAAUGCCAAUUGAUGCAAAUCUUUCCCGAGGUUGCUUUUUUCUAUGAAUAGGAAUGUAGUUAGAAGAGGAUAGAUAUAUAACAUAGGGAAUCACUAAUAUGCAUUAUGUUUGGAGAAGAGAAGGAGAAAGAACCUAGAAAUUCAAGAACUGAUUUACAAUAUAUAAAACCAUAAAUGUUCAAAGAAGUGUCAACUGUUAAUAUUGAAUAGGUUUGGGUCAUGAUUAGGAGAACUUAAAUAUGUCAUAGGCUGACAAAUGAGACGAGUAAAUGUGAGAUGAAGCCGACUAGUCACCAAU
Molecule: long non-coding RNA, 804 nt
Filed under: Olea europaea subsp. europaea
Lineage: Eukaryota; Viridiplantae; Streptophyta; Magnoliopsida; Lamiales; Oleaceae
Source: RNAcentral